This 301-nucleotide ribosomal RNA is filed under the name uncultured bacterium. Its description in RNAcentral is "partial 16S ribosomal RNA". It matches the Rfam family "Bacterial small subunit ribosomal RNA", at positions 509 to 809 of the family's 1533-position model. The record is from RNAcentral.
CAGCAGCCGCGGGAAUACGAAGGGGGCUAGCGUUGCUCGGAAUCACUGGGCGUAAAGGGUGCGUAGGCGGGUCUUUAAGUCAGGGGUGAAAUCCUGGAGCUCAACUCCAGAACUGCCUUUGAUACUGAAGAUCUUGAGUUCGGGAGAGGUGAGUGGAACUGCGAGUGUAGAGGUGAAAUUCGUAGAUAUUCGCAAGAACACCAGUGGCGAAGGCGGCAUCCUGGGCCAACACUGACACUGAGGCACGAAAGCGUGGGGAGCAAACAGGAUUAGAGACCCCUGUAGUCCCUGUCUCUUAUAU